UGCUGGUCCAAGAGUAGUGGCGUUUAUAACUCAGUGAUCACAGCCAGUUACAGAUUUGUUCCUGUCCCACUGCAUUACUUGACUAGAAAGAA
Unclassified non-coding RNA from Cercocebus atys (sooty mangabey), 92 nucleotides. It matches the Rfam family "Y RNA". Rfam says of the family: Y RNAs are components of the Ro ribonucleoprotein particle (Ro RNP), in association with Ro60 and La proteins. NCBI's taxonomy places the organism in Eukaryota, Metazoa, Chordata, Mammalia, Primates, Cercopithecidae. The record is from Ensembl.